RNAcentral lists this ribosomal RNA (254 nucleotides) under uncultured bacterium. RNAcentral's name for it is "partial 16S ribosomal RNA". It matches the Rfam family "Bacterial small subunit ribosomal RNA", at positions 524 to 776 of the family's 1533-position model. The record is from RNAcentral.
UACGUAGGGUGCGAGCGUUGUCCGGAAUUAUUGGGCGUAAAGAGCUCGUAGGCGGUGUGUCACGUCGGCCGUGAAAACCUGCAGCUUAACUGUGGGCGUGCGGUCGAUACGGGCAUCCCUGGAGUUCGGCAGGGGAGACUGGAAUUCCUGGUGUAGCGGUGAAAUGCGCAGAUAUCAGGAGGAACACCGGUGGCGAAGGCGGGUCUCUGGGCCGAUACUGACGCUGAGGAGCGAAAGCGUGGGGAGCAAACAGG